Cervus elaphus (red deer) is the source of this 678-nucleotide long non-coding RNA. RefSeq lists it as uncharacterized. Lineage: Eukaryota; Metazoa; Chordata; Mammalia; Artiodactyla; Cervidae. The record is from RefSeq and is a predicted model, not a curated record. The transcript is spliced from 4 exons.
CAUUUCCUUCUCCAGGGGAAUCUUCCCUACCCAGGGAUCUAACCCAAGUCUCCUGCAUUGGCAGGCAGAUUCUUUACCCCUGAGCCACCUGGGAAGCCCUAGGCAGGGUGAAGGUGUGGUUAAAAUGGGCUUCCUGGAGUGACCUCUUUAUUCACUGCCACUCAGAUUUAUCGAGCGCCUACUGUGUGCUGCUAGAAACUGGGACACAGCAGUGAACACGAACAACCAAACUCCCUGGCUUGUCUGGACUGGCAUGCAUUACACAGCAUUCAGAACUUCCCCAGCCAGGGACUGAACCCAUGCCCCACCAAAGUGGAAGUUAACCACUGAACCACCAGGGAAGUCUGUACGUGUCAACUUGACUGAGCUAAGAGAUGCCUAGGGAGCAGCGCUGUAUGUCAGCACGAAGAAGUUACAGGAGAUGGACCUCUGCCCCUAAUCUCACAGAGUGGAAUGAUGUCUGACAAGUGGCGAUUUGAGAAGUCAGUGGUCGGCACACAGUGGAAAAAGGAUGAAGAAUCUUAGCUCCUACCAUAAUGAUUAAUUGAGACUCCCCUCUUUUUCCCUUUAAAAAUUGUCAUGGCUGAGCAGAAUCUGCAGAGGUGGGUUCUAGACAUAAGUUAACCUUCUUCCCAAACUGCUGGCUUUUCUCAAUAAACCAUCUUUCCUUUCUACUGA